Molecule: ribosomal RNA, 458 nt
Filed under: uncultured bacterium
Lineage: Bacteria
Description: partial 16S ribosomal RNA
Rfam family: Bacterial small subunit ribosomal RNA
Source: RNAcentral
CCUACGGGUGGCAGCAGUGAGGAAUAUUGGUCAAUGGGCGAGAGCCUGAACCAGCCAAGUCGCGUGAGGGAGUACUGCCCUAUGGGUUGUAAACCUCUUUUGUCGGGGAGCAAAAGCCGGACGUGUCCGGCUGUGAGAGUACCCGAAGAAAAAGCAUCGGCUAACUCCGUGCCAGCAGCCGCGGUAAUACGGAGGAUGCGAGCGUUAUCCGGAUUUAUUGGGUUUAAAGGGUGCGCAGGCGGAUUUUUAAGUCAGCGGUAAAAUCGUGGGGCUCAACCCCAUCCAGCAGUUGAAACUGUGGAUCUAGAGUGUGCGGGAGGUAUGCGGAAUGCGUGGUGUAGCGGUGAAAUGCAUAGAUAUCACGCAGAACCCCGAUUGCGAAGGCAGCAUACCGGUGCACAACUGACGCUCAGGCACGAAAGCGUGGGUAUCGAACAGGAUUAGAUACCCCUGUAGUC